Molecule: long non-coding RNA, 2168 nt
Organism: Oryctolagus cuniculus (rabbit)
Lineage: Eukaryota; Metazoa; Chordata; Mammalia; Lagomorpha; Leporidae
Source: Ensembl
GCCAAUGUGCAGAGAGGAAGGAGCUGCCUGGGAGGCAGGAGCCAGGCCCAUCUGCCUGAUGCCGCCAGAGGCCCUUGUGGUCAAGUUGGGGGGCAUUCUGGAGCAUGGUGCUCCUGGAGCCCUCCAUCGGAAUCCAAGGAUGCCUCCCUGGGCAGUGAGAAAAGAAAGGACUGCGAGGAAUGAUGGGAAGAUCUUUCAUUCACACUGAGAUAUAUUAGCUUUGCUUGCAUAUUUCUCCCUUUCCGAGGGUGUGAUUUGAGAGAGUUAGGCAAGGAGAGAGACAGCAGACACUAGACAGUCUUGGAGACUUGAAGCUUCCAUGCAGCACUGGCAGAAGCUUGGUGGCCCCCAGGCCAUGGCAUGGUCCCUGACCGAUGUCUGUGCAUGCAGGAGACGACCAGGACUGGAAGGCGUGGCAGGCUCUGCAGAAUCUGCUUGGUGGUGGUGGUGGUGGUGGGGGUGAACCUGCAGAGGCAGAGCCAGUGUCAAGACAGCAGCGCACUCUCAGGGACCCUGGGUUUGGGGAAUGGUGUACUUCCUCAUCAUACUGGGCUACUUCCUCAUCAUACUUUCAAUCCAGACAUUUGGCUCCAAACUUCCAGAGAGCCAGACAGGAUGGAGCCCAACAAAGAGAAGCAGAAAACAGAGUUGAAGAAAAGAGAGGAGUUCCCUAUGCCCUCCCUUUACUGUCCCAGGUAUUCGUGUGGGUGGGUGGGUGGGGGCUGAUCUGCAAGCUGGCUGGUUGUGUUUCGAAGUGCACGGGACACUCCCAUGGGGAAUCUGCAGCAGGAGGCUUGGUGGCAGCUGGAGCCUGCCUGAGGAGAGGCUAAAUGAGGCUAGCAAGGAUACAUUUGCAAGUUCAUCUUCAACAUCAUCUCAGAAGAAAAAAGAAAAACAAAACGAUUCUAAGGACUCUGGGGACCGGAAUGCAUUGAGUGGACUCACUUUGCACUUUGCUUCACAAUCAAGAUUUGUCUCCUCAUGACUUCAGCUUUGAGAAAGGCCUUAAGGGCUGCAGACAUAGGUUGGUGUGGGUGCUCCUGAAUUUAGCAGAGACUCAGAAAAGACUCAGCUCUUCAACCCUGAUUGAAGUUGGACCCUCCGUUUGCAAAUGCCUUUCCCUGGAAAAUUCUCCUAAAAUUAAAUAACCUUCAUUGCCCCAUACAGAGAAAUAUUCAUUAAGCCAGCACAUGAAAAAAAAAUCUCAUCUUUUUCUCUGUCCUAGAAAUACUCCUAUCAAGUUCUUAUAUACUCCGGGUAUUACUGAAAAUGUGGGUGAUGUGAUAUCGUGGCCAAACUUGGAUGUUUUACUCACUUACAUAUGUGUCAUGGAGUUACUUUCUUGCAAAUGACUUAAUAACAAGUAAUUAUUUCUUUAACUAUUUCCCCAAAAUGACUCAUUAUAAACACAUUCGGUUACUAAGAACUCUGCCUCAACAACUAAACCUCCUUGUAGAUUGUUUAAUUUUUUUCUUGAGUAAACUGUAGAAUUAUCUUAGUUGAUGAGGUAAUGAGGAAAAUGACAGUGGCUAAAGAUUAAUUUGGGCCAUUUCUUACUUGGAGAAAAUCCCAUUGAAAUGGAACAAAUAUCUCUAAAAAGAGAGAAAACUAUGUUUAGAUAGUCAGCCUACUAGCGGAGAAGCCAGAGUUCUCACCCCUGCAUGAGCAACUAACUUCCUGCUUUGUCAGUCGUCCCCCUUGGGCUGCUAGAAUGUCAUGUGACUAAGACGUCGAUAGCACCUUUCCUGAAAGGUCAUAAGCACAAAUGCGAUCUUCAUUUCUGCUGACCAUGAACUCUCGGAAUCCUUAACUCAGGAAACAAAAUUUUACAAGCCAAAACCAAGGAAAAAAAAAGAGAGAGCACAAAAGUCAAGCCUAUUAAGACGUGACGAUCAUCAUUUAAAAAAAAAAUCAUCUAUUAUUUUUCACUUUAUGUCUCUGUGUGGGAGCAAACUGUUGAAAUCCUUACUUAAGGUAUACUAAGCUGAUCUUCUGUAUAUUAAGAUAAUCGAAAAUGAAUCUUGAUGUGAAUGGAAGGGGAGAGGGAGUGGGAAAGGGGAGGGGUGUGGGUGGGAGGGACGGUAUGGGGGGGGGAAGCCAUUGUAAUCCAUGAGUCGUACUUUGGAAAUUUAUAUUCAUUAAAUAAAAGAUAAAAAAAAAAAAAGACA